UCUAUGGCCAUGCCACCCUGAACAAGCCCGAUCCCGUCUAAUCUCGGAAGUCAAGCAGGGUCAGGCCUGGUUAGUAGUUGAAUGGGAGACCACUUAAGAAGACCAGGUGCCGUUAGGC
This 118-nucleotide ribosomal RNA is filed under the name Pteropus alecto (black flying fox). The record is from RNAcentral. Lineage: Eukaryota; Metazoa; Chordata; Mammalia; Chiroptera; Pteropodidae.